Arachis stenosperma is the source of this 1200-nucleotide RNA transcript. RefSeq lists it as uncharacterized. The record is from RefSeq and is a predicted model, not a curated record. NCBI's taxonomy places the organism in Eukaryota, Viridiplantae, Streptophyta, Magnoliopsida, Fabales, Fabaceae. The transcript is spliced from 3 exons.
AUUCACAGACACAUUCAACAUUCAACACACACCACAGAUCACAGAAAAUGAAACUAGUUUGGUCCCCAGAGAGAGCAUCUAACGCAUACAUCGACACUGUUAAAUCAUGCAAGCUUUACCGUCAAUCAGGAGUGGCGGAAAUGGUUUCCGCCAUGGCUGCAGGGUGGAACGCGCAGGUCAUCGUGGAGACAUGGUCGCAGGGAGGCCUCAUCGCUACUAGCGUUGGUUUAGCCAUAGCUAGGCGCCACACCGGAGGAAGACACGUCUGCAUAGUCCCCGACGAGAGGUCCAGAUCAGAGUACGCCGCCAGCAUGGGAGAGGCGGGGAUGUUACCGGAGAUCAUGGUGGGUGAACCGGAGGAGGUGAUGGCUGAGUUGACCGGGAUAGAUUUUUUGGUCGUGGAUUCACGGCGAAAGGAUUUCCCGAGAGUUCUGAGGCUGGCGAAACUGAGCAACAAUGGUGCUGUGCUCUUGUGCAAGAACACGGGUUUUUCUCUCUCUUCCGUCAAAUGGAGGAACCUUCUGGGAGGACAUGGUUCAAGCCGUGGUGUUGUUCGUUCGGUGUUUCUUCCGGUGGGGAAGGGGCUUGACAUGGCGCAUGUCUCCUCCUCCGCCACCACCGGGGGUACUUCGGUCAAUUCACAAUCAUCAGUCAGGGGUAAUAAUGGUAAGAGAUGGAUUAAGCAUGUUGAUCAACGCUCAGGGGACGUCCACUACAUUCGAACUUGAAUUAAUUAGUUAUCAGUUAAUCACUGCUAAACCCUUUUUUAUUAUUUUUUUUCUUUCAUUUUUGUAAAUAGCAGCACGCGUGUAGUUUAGUACUGAGAAGUUAGAAGUAUGAAGUAGAUGUUAUAAGAGGAGAAACAGCAGGACCUACCUACAAUAUUCGGGGUAAGGUCAAUUGAUUUUGCUGGCUAACUCUUAUUAAUUAAUAACUUAACCUCCGCUUCCAUUAGCAUAUCUUCAAGUUUGAACUUUGAAGCAAGUUCCCUAGUGCUGUUGAGAUGUUAGGUUAUGCUUCUCCAAUUCCAGGUUGUUUUUUCAACCAUUCAUCUAAUAUGGAUCAGAGUAUUUGAGCUUCUGUGGCUGCUACACUCAGAAACCACUAUGGUUUAGAUUUUAGAACUAAUGAUGUUACAUAAUUUUUGCUUUUUAAAAUAACUUGUAGUAUAUACUCAAAUAGGUUCUGACAAAUUUUUUA